Molecule: RNA transcript, 3946 nt
Organism: Numida meleagris (helmeted guineafowl)
Lineage: Eukaryota; Metazoa; Chordata; Aves; Galliformes; Numididae
Gene: PEX2
Gene name: peroxisomal biogenesis factor 2
Exons: 3
Source: RefSeq, a predicted model, not a curated record
GGAUCCAGAGCAAGCGGAGGCCGGAGCUGGUGCUCGCCGAGCACUGUUCCUCCUCCCCCAGCCCGCUAAGCGGCCCUCGGGGCCCAGCGGGAGAGCUUGUACCCAAGCACAAGUCUCCCAAAACAUCCACCCCCAACAACAGCAGAAACCCCACUAAGCAGCGCCUGGCGUGCCACGGCACGGCACAACCACCGCCCCGCCUCCAACCCUCUUCCAUUGGCUCUUCAGCUUCAUCCUUUGUCGCUUAAUUUGCUCCCUGGCCUGUCAGUCAACCACCUCCAUGGCGCGAACGCUGCCCUGGUAGCCCUUCUAACGCGUCAUCUCUAUGCCCGAAGUUCUGUGAGUCCCACUGGCGUUCUUUCCCUGUUGCCUGCCUCGCUGUGCAAAGAGGCUGCGGGGCUUCCAGCUAGGCCGAAAGCAUAAGGUCAUUUCAGAAGAUACAGAGUUCAUACAGACUAGUUUGGUAUAUGUAUUUUAAGGAAUAAGCUGGAUAUGGUCUUUAAGAGUUUCUUCUCAACACUGAGCGCGUUAAGGGAGAGAAGACCUUUUUGAAGGAAGAGAAUAUAACCAGAAUUAUCAAGGACAAUGUGGUAAGUUUUAUGGUGGAUACUCACAAGGGACUGAUGAGGCCAAGGUAAGUAUUGUCCUUAGUAUGCAGAAGCCAAUUCUAUGACUCUUCAGGGAUCAGCUGUUUAAAGAUGGUUUUGUUAAUCUAAUAUAUAUUUACAUAUAUCCAGAGACAAGAAAGGAUUUCUGUUGCCAUUUGGUUUUUGACAACUGGUCUGCUAUUUAGUUCUCAUACAUUCUUUCAUUAGUGUCUUGGACUUUGCAGGAAAAGAAGACAAGACAGCAGGAAUGUGGUUUAACUACACUGUGACUUCAUAAAUAACACAUCUGGGAGCCAUCUGGCAAUGACUCGUCCAAUGCAGGUCAUACUUCCUUUGUAAUCCAUACCACGUGGUGGCAAACUGCCAUCAGCCCCCUGCCCUGCUAACUUGGCCUUAGCAUCACUCCUGGGUCCAUGGACCUCCUUCCCCCUAAAGAAGACUCAAAACAGAAAAAGGAGGCUUUCUCUCAAGUCUAAUGUAUCGACAACCUUGUUUCCAGUCCUCUGUUUCCUUCUCAAUUCUGAUUACAGUUGAACUCUUUAGUUAGUAAUUUAUAGUGAGGCAACAACUUUUCUCCUCUAAACAGAUUCUCACGUUGUCAAUGAUUGCUUCCAUUAGAGUAGCUAGCACCCCUUUCAAGUCAGAGAAUUUGAACAGAACAUACAGUUCAAUUGAAUAGAUACUCCAAAUGAUACUUAUCUGAUUUUACUUUUCAGAUAAUUUAUAAAUCAGUCAGAUUGCUUCUGUGAUCACCUAAACUUUCUGGUGUAGUGUCCUGAAAUCUUAGUCAUUUGGUGUAACAAGAUCUGGUUCUGCUUAUGACCUCUCUUUCUUAUCUUAGUUCUGCCCUUAUUUUAUCCUUCCAUUGGAUUUAUCAUGAUUUAUUUUGAUCCAUUCAAAUGGCCUCUCCUUUAUCCUGAAUGAAUCAGAGCUAUCUUCUGACCCUAUACUAUAACACUUGGGUUGGGCUAAUGCCUACCUGAAUGCUAAACGACCAACUUCCCGAAAAACUAGCUUCCUGAUGAAAGUCAAAUGCAGAUGAUUAGCCAGACAAUGUAUUUACAGUCUAACACAUCAUUCUGAAAAAUAGGCUGAAUAUUAUUAUUAUAGAAACCAUCCCCUCCCUACUCAUGUUUUGUUUCAAGUAUUAUCUCUCACAAGCAGAGCCUUUGGGGUUUUGAGUCCAAUGUCUUCUUUCACUAUCAUUUUCAUUUCACAUUAAGAAAAAUCAGUUUACCGUGAUAAUGUCUGUAAUGUAUAUUCUUUGACAUUUGAAGUUAAGUAUUCUUUCUGAAUUAACUGUCUUCCACGGGAAGCAACAGUGGCAAAGCAUCAUCUGAACUCUGUCACAACUGAAUAGUUUGACUCAGAAAAUCUCACACUGCAAUUAGUAAAUGUAUUUCAUCACCCUUAUCAUUUAAAAAAUAUUCUCAGAAGGAGAGAAACCUUAAGAGGCAAAGAUGGCUUUUCCUAUUUUUUUCUGUUCUGUUGAUACUUAAGCCAAGUCUCUACUUUUAUUAUAUUUUGCCAGUUCUUGUGAAAAUAUGCAACUACCCCACCUCCAGACCUAUUUAAUGUUUGAAUACCCACCUUACUGGCCAUCAGAAAAUUCUCUAUCUCCUUCCCUCUUUGGUAGACUUAAAAAAGCCAGAGUUCAAGAAGUGUUUGGACAAUGUUCUCAGAAAUAUGGUUUGAAUUUUGAGUGAUCCUCUGUAGAGCUAGCAAUUGAACUCAAUGAUCCUUGUGAGUCCCUUCUAACUCAGAGUAUUGCAUGAUUCUAUGAUUCUGUGAUUCUUAUUUCUCAGUAUUUUUCACUUUUCCCUGAAAAUCAAAUUAGUGCAAUUUAUUUUUAGGGUAAACUUCAUGAAACCUCUUUUGCCCUAUAAUCAAUCUAACUUAAAUUGUUGUUAUGGCUGAUUCUAGUCUUACCCUUCCUUUUUUUUUUUUUUUUUUUUUAAUAAAAAUGAGAGGACAUUUCUAAUACUACUUGUGACACAGCUGAUAGGAAAGUGUCCAUUUCAGAACAGCUUCCUGAAGUAUUAAAGAUACCGUAUCUGUAGUUAAUCUUUUUGAAUAUUGAGUCAUCUUAAUGACUUUCACAAUGCUAACAGUUUUUGUGGGUAUUUAAUUUAAUUUUCAGCUGAACUAGCUUAACGUGACAGUGAGUAGAAAACUCCCUAAUUUUCAUUUGUUAGCAGUAUCCCAAACCUACUGGACACAAGAAUAUGAGAGCAGCAAACAUUUUUCCUUUUAUGAACUCUUACACUAAAUAAAAAAAAAUCUAUUGUGGCUUCUUUUAUACGAUCUUAAACUUUAUCCAGUCCACACAUACUGAUCCAUUUUCAUCAUGUACUGUAUUGAACAACCUGUGUAUCUCUAGGUUUACUCCACCAAAACAGUCUAGAGUUUUUGCUAAAAGGUAGGAUUAGGCUGAGAUCUGCUUAAUAAGGUGCUAGCUCAUCAGUAUAUGUAACACAGUGGAAAAAAAAAAAAAAAAGAAAAAAAACAAUGAAUGGAGGCAUCACUUCACAAGCUCCCAAACAUAGUUUUACUGGUAUAACUGACAGAUGUCAGCAACUCUAGUCCUCUGGACACAAAAAAGCAGAUAAACACAUGAUGAGCAUUUCUUCUUCCUACAGCAGCUUUGUCUUACUUACACUGUGUAUUAUACAUAGGCAGGUACUGAGAAGAAAGAUCUUCUAUGGAUAUAUAGAUACAUAUAUGUAGGAUCUCCACAAGAGAAACGACUCAUUGGAUGAACCCAAGAAGAUGAACCCUCUGCUUCACCAGUCACCUACAGCACCCUCCUCUUGUCUCCAAGCUUGAGAAGAGGCUGACUGCCCAUAGAGAAAUUGUGCUGAGAAGAUAUGAUAUAUAAAAGGCAGAGCCUCUGCUGGCCCGGAAGGUUUCCCCAGCAACUGAAGAUGUGGACUUAGCUCUUGUGAUGGGUAGCACACAAACUGGUUUUUACAAUGAAAACAUAAAAAAUAAUUCUUAAGCCUUUUGGUUCAGAAGAUUUCUUUUGUUCCUAGAGCUUCAUAUAAUAAUAUCGUUUCCUAAUUGCUACUGAGAGAAUGUGCUUUGAGUUGCAAACUGAUGAGAGGAGUAAUAAUUAAGAGGGCAUACCAAGUACAUAUGCCUUAAGCAAAAGUAAUUUGCAAUACUGAAUUAAUGUAUUCUUUAUCUAUCAGUGAUAUUUGGUGCCACAUUUGCUUCUGUUAUUGUUUUGGGCAUAUUUAUUUGUUCUGAAUGAUUCUGUCUCCCCUGAGUGUGUUAUUUCCCCAAUCUCACUUUCUUUUUUCUUUCUUUUUUUCCCUGAAUAAAUUUAAAAAUAAAUA